This 4965-nucleotide long non-coding RNA is filed under the name Zostera marina. Its description in RNAcentral is "long non-coding RNA (ZMAR_LNC005092)". The record is from RNAcentral. Lineage: Eukaryota; Viridiplantae; Streptophyta; Magnoliopsida; Alismatales; Zosteraceae.
AUAAAGGGAGAGACAAAAAUAGGAAGGAAGACAAAUACGAUCUGUAACGAUUUGAAAGAAAGAAGGAAAAUCCUUUUUGUUGGAAAGUGUUAAAAUGUGGGAUUGAACUUCCUUCUUUAGCUAUGAGGAAGAGCUGCACCGGAGUCGGAAGUAGAUGCUCGCCAGACGUCGAGAAAUCGGAGAGGAGGGGAAGAAAUUAGGUUUACUCAUAUUACCAAAUUUCUAACCGUUGGUUACUACUGUAGACGAUUAGUAGUAACUAUUGUAUUAGGAGAAAAUGAAAUCAGAUUGAAUUAAUUGAAUGUUAAUCAGACUGAUUUGUAUUAAUACUAAAGUUAUUGAACCAAAUGACCAACUAACACUAACAACUUUCUAUCUUUAAUGGACUAAUUCAAAUACCGGCCCAAUUGUUUUCUUUUAUUACUUUGGCCCAUCUGGAUAUUUAUUGAAAUAUUUGCAGCUUUGUCCCUGUAUUCCAUUUCCUUCUUGACAAACCUGCAUACCUAUGUUUUCUCUAAUUACACAUUAGUCCAGUUAGCCUUAAUUAGUGUUAAUUACUUCUUUACUCCCUCCUCAAGCUCUGGAAUAAAUAUUUAUGAUUUCAAGCUUGACAUAGGUUGAGGUAAUCUCAUUUUCUCCCAUAGGUUUAGUAAACAUGUCUGCCAAUUGGUAUUUUGUUCCAAUUUGCUUAAGACAAAACACUCCUUGGAUAAUUAGUUCUCUAAUAAAAUGGCAAUCUAUCUCUAUGUGUUUUGUUCUUUCAUGAAACACGGGGUUAUUAGCUAGAUUGAUUAUUGAUUUAUUAUCACAGUAUAUUGUUGUUUGAUUAUUAGUUUUGAUUUUCAUUUCUUUGAUUAACUGAUGAAUCCAUAUUACCUUACAGGCUGUUUGAGCUAUUGCCCUGUAUUCAGCCUCACAUGAGGAUCUUGAUAUUAUUGAUUGCUUCUUGGAUUUCCAGGAUAUGACUGAAUUUCCAAUUAAAAUGCAAAAGCCAGUUACUGACUUCCUGCUUAUUUGGCAUCCUGUCCAAUCAGAGUCACAAAAGGCAUGAAUGCUUAGAUCUUCACUAUUUUUAUAUAAAAUGCCUUGUCCUAGUGCACUCUUUAGAUAUCUUAGUAUUUUAAAUAAUGCUUUCCGAUGAACCUCCUUUGGUUCACUCAUGAACUAGCUGAGCCAGUGAACUGCAUAACUCAGGUCAGGCCUGAUGAUAUUGAGAUAUAUUAGUUUGCCAACUAGUUUUCUAUAGAAAGUUGGGUUUCCAAUUUAUUUGGAUUCAUUCUUAAGGUCUAUAUUUCUUUCCAUUGUUAUUUUGGAUUCUUUUGCUCCUGAUAUGCCACUUUCUUCAAGUAUUUCUAGUGCAUAUUUCCUUUGAGAUAAUAGGAUUCCUUCACUAGAAUAUGAUACUUCUAUUCCUAAAAAAUAGUUUAGUUUCCCAAGGUCUUUCAAUUUAAACUUAUUUUCUAAUUGUAUUUUAAGGAUGCUUAUUUCUAUCUCAUUGCUACCUGUAAUGAUAAUAUUAUCCACAUAGGCAAUUUGGUAUAUUAUGUUUUUAUUUCUCUCUUAUAAAUAGAAAGUAAUCUGAUUUGGUUUGAAUGAAGACAAAAUCUAGUAGUGUUUCUUAAUUUUUUAAACCAAUUUAUAGAGGCAUGUUUAAGGCCAUAUAAAGAUUUGUUAAGUUUGCAUACUCUUGUCUCUUUCUAUGAGAAGGCCUUGGGGUGGCUUUACAUAUACUUCCUCAUGAAGAUCACCAUGAAGGAAGGCAUUAUUGACAUCAAUUUGGUAUAGGUUCCAUAUCUUUUGUGCUGCAAAAGCAAUUAAUAUCCUUACUGUUGUCAUUUUUGCAACAGGUGCAGCGGUUUCAUAAAAAUCCAAACGUUCCUUUUGAGAGAAGCCUUUGGCUACUAGCCUUGCUUUAUAUCUCUCAAUCUCUCCAUUUGGUUUGUAUUUAAUUUUGCAUAUCCACUUGGAUCCUACUACCUUCCUUCCUUUGGGAAGUUCAGUUAUGGUCCAAUUGUUGUUUAAGAUGAGGGCUUCCAUCUCUUUCUUCAUUGCAUCUACCCAUUUUGGGUUGUUUGGUGCUUCAUUGAAUGAUGUUGGUUCAAUAUUUUUGUUGAUUUGUUUUAGGAACUCCUUAUGUUUUUAUCAUUUACCCUAUGAUAUGACACAUAAUUGCUCAUAGGGUAUUUGGUUUUCUUGGAUGGAUCAUCAUCCAUUUGGAAAUCCUCAAAAUGUUUAGGCUUGGUUAUUAAUCUUCCCAUCCUUGUUUGUUUUGGAUUUUUAGUUGUUAUAGUUUUAUCAUUUUUAGUGAUUUGAUCUUGGUUUUUAUUAGCAUGAUUAUUUUCAUAUUUUUCCAUAUUAUCUUGACUGUUAGAAACUUGAAUUGAAGCUUCUUUACCGUUACUCUGUAUUUCUGAGUUUGCUAAGGUUGCUUGCUGUUCUGGAUUCCAGCUUCGUGUAUUUUUUGGUAUUUUUUGGUAUGUUUAUAUUGUCUAUAUCAGUUUGAUUUUUAUCAAUUUUAUCUGAUAUAGACUGUUUUUCCAGUGCAUUUCCAGACUGACCAGACUGGUCAUUUCCAGUUAUACCUGGUCAGUUUUCAAAAAUGAUUCCAGAGCCUGAAUUUUCAUUGAUUUUAUCUGAAAAACACUGUUUUUCAUUUGUAUUUUGGUUCUGGUCAGACUGGUUAUUUCCAGUUAUACUAGACCUGUUUUCCAAAAAUAAUUUCAGACUGGUUUGGAUUGUUAUUUUUUUCUGUUAUUUUCAGACUUGAUAUUGCCUUGGGUUGAUGUGUAUUGAUUAUUUCUUGCAAUGGAAAAAUAUUAUUUAUUUUAUUUUGUUGGAUUUUACGUGUUGUUUGUUGGAAUGGGAAAACAUCUUCCCUAAAAACAACACUACUUAUGUAGAAUUUCUGAUUUUCUAUGCUAAGUAUUAGAUAUCCUUUUAUAUUGGGAAGAUAUCCUAUAAAUACUCCCCUAAAAGUUCUUGAAGAGAACUUAUGUUCUUUGCUCUGUAUUGUUGUAUAACAUAUACACCCAAAUGUCCUUAAGAAAUUAAAUUUUGGUUUUUCUGUGUAGAAUUUCAAAUGGGGUUUUAUUAUCUAAGAUUUAUGAUGGGAUUAUAUUUAUUAUGUAGGUUGCAUCCAAGAUACAUUCUCCCCAAUAUUUUAAGGGUAUGUUAGCUUGUAUGUGUAGAGAUCUAGCUAUGUUUAAUAGACAUCUAUGUUUUCUUUCAACUCUUGCAUUUUGUUGAGGGUAUUAAGGGCAUGUGAGUUGGUGUAUAAUUCUAAAAUCUUCAAACAUAUUUUUGAAAGUAUUGGAUUUAAAUUCUCCACCAUUGUCACUCCUUAUUACUUUAAUAUUUUUGCAAAAAAAGUUUCAAACUUUUAUAAUGAAUUUCUUUAUGCAUUCAUAAGCAAAAGAUUUAUCUUUGAUUAGAUAGAUCUAAGUUGUUCUACUUAUAUCUUCUACUAUAGUUAGAAAAUAUUUAAAGCCAUCUUGAGUGUCAAUUGGGAACUUGCCCUAAAUGUCUAUGUAUAUUAGAUCAAAUAAAAAUUUACUUGUUGUAUUACUCUUAAUUAGUAUAUUUGAGUUUAUUUUGUUUAGAAAUGGGUAAACAUCACAAUCUUUAUUUGAAAAAUUUCUGAAUUACAAUUAUUCAAAACAAAAAAUUUAACAAUUUUAUUUAAACUACGAUCUACUUGUUGAUUCUUGAUGAGCAUAGCAAGCUUUUGAUUGAAGAUAUGUCCAAGUCUGUUUCGCAGGUGGAAGCUUUGGUAGAGAUUGCGGAGGAAAUUAAAUCAGUUUGAAGAAGAAAUGAAAUCUGUUUCGAUUGAUUGAUUGUAGCUACAUAAUUGGUUCCCAUUUAUGUACAUCAAUAGAUGAUUCUAGAGACCCACUCAGGUUGUUAUAAGAAUCUAUGGUUAUCUUGAUUCCAUGGGCUUCUUAUAACAACCUUGCUAUUUAUCAAUUUACAAUAUUAGUUUAUGUAGAUUAAUCUAACACUUUCCCUUCAAUUUGACGUGCAUUUUCUCUAACUUCCAAUCUUUGUCUGAUUUCAAUGAACCGUGAGGAUGGAAUAGGUUUAGUAAAUCCAUCUGCCACUUGAUCAUGAGUUGGAAUGUGUGAUACUGCAAUGACUCCUUUCUUUACUAGUUCACUGACAAAGUUAAACUGCACGGCCAUAUGUUUCAUUCUUUAGUGAAACAAUGGAGAUUAUACGCAAGAAAUUUUGAGCUCAGACUAUCAGUGAAGAUUAAUGACGAUCUUGUUUGAGAGAAACCAAGUUCUUGAAGUAAAUUUCUAAUCCAGAUUAUUUCAGUUGUGGCAUCUGAAAUUGUGCGAAAUUAUGCAUCGGUGGAAGAUCGAGCAACACUGGUUUGCUUCUUUGCUGACCAAGAAAUUAAAUUUCGUCCAUAGUAGAUUGCAUAUCUUCCUGUACUUCUUCUAUCUUCCAUUGAUCCUGCCCAAUCGGCAUCGGUAAAAGAUGUGAUAUUUGGUUGUUUUGAGGGAGUAAAAAUCAACCCAAAGUGAGACGUGCCUUGAAGAUAUCUUAAAACUCUCUUGGCGGCCAGCCAAUGAGAUGUAGUGGGAUUUUGUAGAUAUUGGCAGAGUUUGUUUACCGGAAACGCUAUAUCGGGUUUGGUGUGUACCAAAUGUUGUAAAGCUCCGAUUGUGGAUCUGUAGGCAAACUUUUCAAUUAAAGGUAUUCCUCUGAUGAUACCAACUUAGUUGUAGAUACCAUUGGAUCGAGUGCUGGUUUUGAUGAUUCCAUAUUUGUACGUUUGAGUAGAUUUUGGACAUACCUUUGUUGAGAUAACAUGACACAUCCAUUUUCAUUUAUUUUAUAAAUUCCAUACCCAAAAAGUACCUUAAUAGUCCGAGAUCUUUCAAUCGAAACCUCUUUGCCAUCCUUUCAAUAAGUCUGUUAACCUUUAUUGCCGAUAUUCCUGUAAUAAUUAUAUCAUCGACA